This 407-nucleotide long non-coding RNA is filed under the name Apteryx owenii (little spotted kiwi). RNAcentral describes it as "lncRNA (ENSAOWG00000017656.1)". The record is from RNAcentral. Lineage: Eukaryota; Metazoa; Chordata; Aves; Apterygiformes; Apterygidae.
GGGACUUUGAACAAGCUUUUUAAUUUCUGUCCUUUUUUGUUCCUCAGCUGUAAARUGAGAAUUCUAACAGUGCUCCUGUGCCUUGUCCUGUCUGCUUGACGUUGUGAGCAUCUUGAUCAAGCGUCCAUGUGGAGCUUAGAGCAACAGAGCAGUCGGCUCUGUAGAAUUGCUGCAAUAUGGGUAUUGUAGAUUCUCCUGGGGACCUGUGCAGCAGCAAAGGAAUAACUGCGCUGAUGGCUAGGGAGAGCAGAAAGGCCUAUUUCUCCCAUGAUGGGACCAACCCUUUCUCACCAUCUUGCCUACUUGUACUGCACUGCUGGGAGGACACCAGUGAUAUGAGGUGCAGUGGCUCGCAUCCUUUGUGCAGCUUCUGUCAGUGACAGCAUUGGCCCUGCUGUGAGAUGGCC